Molecule: ribosomal RNA, 292 nt
Filed under: uncultured bacterium
Lineage: Bacteria
Description: partial 16S ribosomal RNA
Rfam family: Bacterial small subunit ribosomal RNA
Source: RNAcentral
GUGCCAGCCGCCGCGGUAAGACAGAGGGUGCAAACGUUGUUCGGAAUUACUGGGCGUAAAGCGCGUGUGGGCGGCUGUGCAAGUCGGAUGUGAAAUCCCGUGGCUAAACCACGGAAGUGCACCCGAAACUGCGCAGCUGGAGUCUCGGAGAGGAAGGUGGAAUGCUUGGUGUAGAGGUGAAAUUCGUAGAUAUCAAGCGGAACACCGGUGGCGAAGGCGGCCUUCUGGACGAUGACUGACGCUGAGACGCGAAAGCGUGGGGAGCAAACAGGAUUAGAUACCAUGGUAGUCC